ACUAACGCUGGCGGCGUGCCUAAUACAUGCAAGUCGAACGGUCAUAUGUUCGUAGCAAUAUGGAUAUAUGAUAGUGGCGAACGGGUGAGUAACACGUGGAAAAUCUACCUUCGAGUGGGGGAUAACUCCGGGAAACUGGGGCUAAUACCGCAUAACAUCACGUGACGGCAUCGUCCUGUGAUCAACGACGCAAGUCGCUCGAAGAUGAAUCCGCGUCCCAUCAGCUUGUUGGCGGGGUAAUGGCCCACCAAGGCUUUGACGGGUAGCCGGCUUGAGAGAGCGAACGGCCACAAGGGGACUGAGACACGGCCCCUACUCCUACGGGAGGCAGCAGUAGGGAAUUUUGGUCAAUGGGGGAAACCCUGAACCAGCGACGCCGCGUGGGUGAUGAAGUCCUUCGGGAUGUAAAACCCUUUUUAUCGGGACGAAAGAAACAUGACGGUACCGGUAGAAUAAGCCACGGCUAACUCCGU
Molecule: ribosomal RNA, 473 nt
Filed under: uncultured bacterium
Lineage: Bacteria
Description: bacterial SSU rRNA
Rfam family: Bacterial small subunit ribosomal RNA
Source: RNAcentral